This 747-nucleotide ribosomal RNA is filed under the name Escherichia coli. RNAcentral describes it as "partial 23S ribosomal RNA". It matches the Rfam family "Bacterial large subunit ribosomal RNA", at positions 614 to 1361 of the family's 2925-position model. Lineage: Bacteria; Pseudomonadati; Pseudomonadota; Gammaproteobacteria; Enterobacterales; Enterobacteriaceae. The record is from RNAcentral.
AAUGGGUCAGCGACUUAUAUUCUGUAGCAAGGUUAACCGAAUAGGGGAGCCGAAGGGAAACCGAGUCUUAACUGGGCGUUAAGUUGCAGGGUAUAGACCCGAAACCCGGUGAUCUAGCCAUGGGCAGGUUGAAGGUUGGGUAACACUAACUGGAGGACCGAACCGACUAAUGUUGAAAAAUUAGCGGAUGACUUGUGGCUGGGGGUGAAAGGCCAAUCAAACCGGGAGAUAGCUGGUUCUCCCCGAAAGCUAUUUAGGUAGCGCCUCGUGAAUUCAUCUCCGGGGGUAGAGCACUGUUUCGGCAAGGGGGUCAUCCCGACUUACCAACCCGAUGCAAACUGCGAAUACCGGAGAAUGUUAUCACGGGAGACACACGGCGGGUGCUAACGUCCGUCGUGAAGAGGGAAACAACCCAGACCGCCAGCUAAGGUCCCAAAGUCAUGGUUAAGUGGGAAACGAUGUGGGAAGGCCCAGACAGCCAGGAUGUUGGCUUAGAAGCAGCCAUCAUUUAAAGAAAGCGUAAUAGCUCACUGGUCGAGUCGGCCUGCGCGGAAGAUGUAACGGGGCUAAACCAUGCACCGAAGCUGCGGCAGCGACACUAUGUGUUGUUGGGUAGGGGAGCGUUCUGUAAGCCUGUGAAGGUGGCCUGUGAGGGUUGCUGGAGGUAUCAGAAGUGCGAAUGCUGACAUAAGUAACGAUAAAGCGGGUGAAAAGCCCGCUCGCCGGAAGACCAAGGGUUCCUGUCCA